Molecule: non-coding RNA, 4408 nt
Organism: Heterocephalus glaber (naked mole-rat)
Lineage: Eukaryota; Metazoa; Chordata; Mammalia; Rodentia; Bathyergidae
Source: RefSeq, a predicted model, not a curated record
ACGCCGGGCGGGGGCGGGCUUCCACUUGUGGAUCGGCGGCCGUCCUCCGCGCCCUCCCCAGGCCCGGACUGGGUGGCGGCCACGGGCCGACGUGGCACCGGGUGGCUGCCCUGGGUGCAGCAUGGGCACAGAUGCUUGGCAGGAAAACGGACAGGAAAAGCCCCCGUCUCCUUUCUCUGGACCCCGGCGCCUUCUUCCUCUGGUCUGCGGUUUAGCAGGGCGCCAGGCCACUGCGGCCAAGUCUGUGACUUCGCGCUCGCAGCUUGGGCAGGAGGACCCGCUGCUGCCCGUCCCCUCCCCUGCCGCUUAGCCCCGCGUCCCUGCCAUGGGGUGCGGACUCAGGAAGCUCGGGGACCCCGAGGACAGCAGCCCUGGGAAAAUCUUUUCCACCCUCAAGAGACCGCAAGUGGAAACAAAGACGGACUUGGCUUAUGAGUACGUGCUGCUGGAUUUCUCUCUGCAAGCCCCGUCAAACCCGGAGGUGAUCAGGAUAAACUCGAUCGUGGACAUAGCAGCCAAAGUGGAGGACUAUUACCUCCAGGGCUACGUGGUGGGGGCCCUGCACCCCAUCCUGCACCCCGCAGGCCCGCGAGUACCCCUGCCUGCGAGUCACCUGUACCGAGCGGUGCUGCUGCGGCCCAAAGCCAGCCCCAAGCGGCCGGCAGCACCCAGCACACAGAGGCACCCACGGCUGGUCAUUGAGGAGUGUCCCAUCCCAGAGGACAUGCAGGCCAGAGAUAUCGCCAAGGAGCUGAUACAGAAGAUCAACGCUGCUGCCCGCAGAGGAAUGCGGUUCGUGGGCUUCACUCCGCAGCUGCGUGCCCCACCCAGGUGCUGCAACGAGGCCGGCCGGGACGCUGGUGCGGAGCCGGACGACAGCUGGCCGGGCCGGGGCAAGGGGCCGGGCAGCGGGCCGGUGUGGGAAGGUGACCCUGGGGAGGAGUCCCGCCGGGAGGGCGACGGCAGCCCCAGCCCCUCCACGCCAAGGAAGGGAGAAGAGAGCAUGCUGUAUGCGGUCUUCAAUGCUUUCGAGGACACCCCAGCCUGCUGGAGCUACCAGGAGGGUGUGCUGUCACUGAAGGUGACCAGGAAGGGCGCUGUCCUCAGCACGCUGGACGCCGACUGGCUGGAGCUGACCAUGUUUUAUUACAAGCAGGGCUUGUCCUUGAUCGACUCCUUCGUGUGCUGGGAUUCACCGAAAGGGGACCACUUGCCGAAAUCUCUGGAGGGAUUUUUUAUCUACGAGGAGGAAGGCUCCGGGCUUCCAGGGUCUCCCAGGAGAGAGAACGAUGCCAUCGUGGUGGAGCAGUGGACAGUCAUCGAGGGCACUGCCGUCAAGGCGGACUACGGCCCCCUGCUGCACACCCUGGCCGAGUUCGGAUGGCUGCUGACCAGCGUGCUGCCCACGCCCCUGCUGAGGCGCGACAGAGUGUUCAUGUGCAGAAACCAAAGCCGGCCGAGCGGACGACCCCGCCGGGCUCUGGGCAGCCUGUGUGGCCACCGUCGUCCCCAGAGACGCACAAGACGAGUCACGUUAGAAGGACUCGGUGACAACGUGAGACAUGGAAGAUGCCGCAUGCCCGGGAGUCGCAGUCCCAGCACUCCAGGGCCCGACUGAUGCUGCGCGCCCUCCAGGGCAGGGGCAGGGACCAUCGCCAGGCGACCCCCUGGGACGUCCACUCUUCUGGCCAAGGCCCGCACCCCGACCCUCGAGCGAGCUGGAGGUGUUGAGACUCUGGGCUGCGCACAGCUGAGGCUGGCUCUGGCUGGGCCCUGGGCCCACCUCCAGCAUCACAAAGGGAGAAAAGAAAGCGAAGAGCAGAGAAGCUGCAGGCUGGCGCAACACCCGCAACCUGGCUCACCAGUCUACAGCCCGGGUCAGGCAGGAAGAAAUCACCACUAGGACACCCUCAGCCCCGCCCACAGCUCCUGCUUUCCCACAAACCCAGGCCUUCACCCUGAGCUACAUUCCAGGCCAUUUAUGUUGCUUUUUUAGUUUGAAACAGUCUUGCUCAAUUGCUCAAUUGCCCAGGCAGAGCUAGAGCUUGGGAUCCUCCUGCCUCAGCCUCCCAGAGUGCUGGGAUUACAGGCCUGCACCACAGGCCCAGCUGCACUUUCUUUCUAUUCAAGAAUAAUUCUACCCUGACCCUUCUUCCCAUCUUUGGAUAAUCCCAGGUGCUUCUCUUGGGCUCUCUACCUGGGUCGCACACCCUGAGCAGGGACCAGAACCCUCUCCUCUCGCUUGUUUCUGAGAUCUCGUCCUUCCCCCUGUUCUCACCUGGAUGGACAGGAGAGGACAUCGCACUGUCCUGGGGCAGGCACAGGGGCUGCCCCACGCACAGGCACUCGUUUGCCCCACAAGGUACCCGAUAGAGGAACCGAGGCAGGAAACCAAAGCAAGGCUUUCACGGCGCUCAUCAGCUCCAGCACUCGACAGGGCCCAGCUGCACCCAGGAACCGCCCGGCUGCAGAGCCCCUGCUCCCCCAGCAUCUCCCGACCGUAGGACCAGCCUGGCCCAUGGCCCCACAGGCGGCCGAUGGUGCUGGCUGUCCCAGAGUCACAGUGUGCAACACACCACCUUCUCACAGAAGGUCGGGGAAUGGCAUGAAGGAGACGGAGGACUCUGAAAAUAAAAAUACCUGGAGGCUGGGACAGGAGGAUCACCAUGAGUUCGAGGCCAGCCUGGGCUAAUAGCAAGUUCAAAGCCAGCCCAAACUACACAGUGAGACCCUGUCUCAAAAAUAAUAAUAACAAAAUAAAAUAGAAGCAAUUUCCUGUUACCAUGCUGGGGGAAGAUGUGCUAGUUCUCAAAAUUCCCUGGCGUCCGUAACCAGGUUUUCAGUGGUCUGCGGUCCAUGGAGACCUCUCAGGGCAGAGUUUCAGUGCAGCCUCCUCCAGGAUGGCAGAGCAGCUCAGGGGAAGGGUCAGUGGAGGCUCUUUGCAUAAUAAAACUGGCAACUGAGCAACACUGCGACAGUGGCCGGAGGGUUUCCUGGGGACACGAGGCCCAGGGCCUUGGUGAGGGAUUUGCGGGGACCGGGACUCUGGGCGCCUGCUGCAGCGUCAGGAAAUGAACAGGCCCCUCUGCUGGAAACACAGACGAACUCCCCCAUGCAGAGCGCACUGGGUCUCUUGUUUAGUUACUGGGUUUUUUUGAUAAGGCAGAUUGACAGUGCAUACCAGUAAUUGAUUGAUUUUAACCCAAUAACUCCACUCCUGAGAAGUGAUGUCCGGAACUAAUUCUUAAGAGGAAGACCAGGUGUCAAGUUUCCAUAACAGCAUGAUUCAUAGCUAUCAGUAAGCCAGAAACAACCUCAUUUUUCAAAAGCAAAGGAAACCCUCAAUACAUUUUGCUGUUUGCAUUCUUUCAAGAUACUAUAUUACACAGCCAUUAAAAAUACGAUCGCAGUGGGCAACCCCGGAAGGUGAGUUCCAGGAGUGGCCCCGAAAUAAAAACGGAACGAGCGGCAGUCGUUCCCAGCUCAGCCUGGGUGGAGAUGGGGAAAGCUGGGCGGCGCUGUCGAGGAUGGGGUCUGUGGGGGCCCCAGAGAGGCGCUGGGAGCCCAGCCCGCCGAGGAGGCCCGGACUCAGCCUGCACAGGGAACUCUGGCCGCGUCGGGAGUGGGGCCGGGCUGAUGGGCAGAGCGGGCGAGGGACAUGACAGGGCCCAGCUGAGCAGUGGGCUCCCUGGGCCGCUGAAGCGCGAGGCCGCCCCGCCGCGGUCUCGUCCCGAUCCGCCCUGGAAGAGUCCUCGGGCCCGGGGGGGGGGGGCACUUGGGGCCUGGGGUCCACGGCUCUUGCCCGGAGGGGCUGCCGGUCCGUCGUGGCCACCGCGUCCGCUGGGGGAGCUCAUCUCGGGGGCUCUGGGCCCCGCGCUCCUGGCACCUGGGGUGAAGGUGGAUGCGGACACCUCUGGGUGCUCCUCCUGACCCUGGAUGCGGCGAAAGCGGGGUCCCUGCGGAGCCCCGCGCUUCUCUCAGGGUGCUCGGGCUGGAGGAGAGGAAGGCUCAGCGGAGGGCUGGAAACCUUGCAAUAAGCCAGGCGUGGUGGUGCGCACCUGUCAUCCCAGGACCCUGGAGGCUGAGGCAGGAGAAUGAACAGCCCGGCCUGGGCAAUGCAGUGACUGGGCACUUGGGGAGACCCUGACUCAGAAAAUGAAAAGGGCAGGGGAUGCAGCUCAGUGGGAAGGCCCUGGGUUCACUCCCGGGGCCAGAAGAGAAAAGAGGAAAGAGGAGAGGGGAGGAGGGAGCAGAGGGCUUGCGGCCCGACGCUGCGCUCCGGGGUUCCUGCCCAGCAGAGCGGAGCGGAGCAGGCUGUGGCCGAGCUUCUGGGGAGGGGAACCUGGCCACGAAGCAGGUCGUCUUCCUGCAGCGGUCGGCGGCGCGGCCCGGCGCGCGCGCCCCCGAG